Long non-coding RNA from Canis lupus familiaris (dog), 452 nucleotides. RefSeq lists it as uncharacterized. The transcript is spliced from 3 exons. The record is from RefSeq and is a predicted model, not a curated record. NCBI's taxonomy places the organism in Eukaryota, Metazoa, Chordata, Mammalia, Carnivora, Canidae.
AGAAAAGCUUGUUUCCAUUUGUCACACUCUGUUCUUGUUCUGUGUGUAAAGAGGUUGCUAUGGGAUUAUUUUCUAGAGUUACAACCUCCAUAUAUAAUCUGAGAAGAUCAUGCUGAGAAGAAAUGCACCAUAAGGCAAGUCAGAUGAGAUGCUUGCUGGUCAUCAAGAAAGUGGCACUCACAUUUUGAAGCCAAUCCAAACCAAGAGUGGCGUGGGUUCCUUUGACGGUCAUUUCUUAGAAGACUGAUUUAAUGACCUGCAAUGGGGAACACCGAGGCUCAUUCUGAAAUGGUUUUGGAUUUGCUCAGCAAACACAUAGCAAAGGGAUCUGCUUCAACCCAACAGAACAGAAUCGCAUUUUCUGUGGCCAUCAGCAUUCAGUCCUGGAGACAUGCCUGCAUUUACAGAGAUGGAGCCAAGCACCAAAGUCAACAUGGUUCUUAAAAAAUUAC